UGAGCCACCCAGGCGCCUCUGGAUUUGAUUUUUGAGGCAAGUCCAUUUGAUUGAGAGUUACUGCCUAGAAAAUGUUAAGAAUUGUGAAACCACGAGUGUGAAAGACCGAGGUAGUGGCUCUAGUAGACAGCCCUGUACCAGUGCAUUUCUGUUGUUAGAAAAAAAAAGAUCAUGGGUAAAGGUUGAUUGCAUUAAGUCAUUGUCUUAAAAUGAG
Long non-coding RNA from Lontra canadensis (Northern American river otter), 214 nucleotides. RefSeq lists it as uncharacterized. Lineage: Eukaryota; Metazoa; Chordata; Mammalia; Carnivora; Mustelidae. The transcript is spliced from 3 exons. The record is from RefSeq and is a predicted model, not a curated record.